Molecule: ribosomal RNA, 496 nt
Filed under: uncultured bacterium
Lineage: Bacteria
Description: partial 16S ribosomal RNA
Rfam family: Bacterial small subunit ribosomal RNA
Source: RNAcentral
AUUGAACGCUGGCGGAAUGCUUUACACAUGCAAGUCGAACGGUAGAGGGGGCAACCCCUCGAGAGUGGCGAACGGGUGAGUAAUAUAUCGGAACGUGCCCAGUCGUGGGGGAUAACGUAGCGAAAGUUACGCUAAUACCGCAUACGAUCUAAGGAUGAAAGUGGGGGAUCGCAAGACCUCGCGCGAUUGGAGCCGCCGAUAUCAGAUUAGGUAGUUGGUGGGGUAAAGGCUCACCAAGCCAACGACCUGUAGCUGGUCUGAGAGGACGACCAGCCACACUGGAACUGAGCCACGGGCCAGACUCCUACGGGAGGCAGCAGUGGGGAAUUUUGGACAAGGGACGCAAGUCUGAUCCAGCCAUUCCGCGUGCAGGAUGAAGGCCCUCGGGUUGUAAACGGCUUUUGUACGGAACGAAAAGGGCUCUCUUAAUACGGGGGACUCAUGACGGUACCGUAAGAAUAAGCACCGGCUAACGACGUGCCAGCCGCCGCGGUAA